Molecule: ribosomal RNA, 382 nt
Filed under: Salmonella enterica
Lineage: Bacteria; Pseudomonadati; Pseudomonadota; Gammaproteobacteria; Enterobacterales; Enterobacteriaceae
Also listed under: 1 other name
Description: partial 23S ribosomal RNA
Rfam family: Bacterial large subunit ribosomal RNA
Source: RNAcentral
CGGGAGAUAGCUGGUUCUCCCCGAAAGCUAUUUAGGUAGCGCCUCGUGAAUUCAUCUCCGGGGGUAGAGCACUGUUUCGGCUAGGGGGCCAUCCCGGCUUACCAACCCGAUGCAAACUGCGAAUACCGGAGAAUGUUAUCACGGGAGACACACGGCGGGUGCUAACGUCCGUCGUGAAGAGGGAAACAACCCAGACCGCCAGCUAAGGUCCCAAAGUCAUGGUUAAGUGGGAAACGAUGUGGGAAGGCCCAGACAGCCAGGAUGUUGGCUUAGAAGCAGCCAUCAUUUAAAGAAAGCGUAAUAGCUCACUGGUCGAGUCGGCCUGCGCGGAAGAUGUAACGGGGCUAAACCAUGCACCGAAGCUGCGGCAGCGACGCUGAUG